This is a long non-coding RNA of Tigriopus californicus, 1386 nucleotides long. RefSeq lists it as uncharacterized. NCBI's taxonomy places the organism in Eukaryota, Metazoa, Arthropoda, Copepoda, Harpacticoida, Harpacticidae. The transcript has 3 exons. The record is from RefSeq and is a predicted model, not a curated record.
AUAGUGAACGACUUUUUUUGCUUACCCGGCACUUACUUCUGUUCCUGUUUGCUUGGGGGACACACGUGGGACCAAUGUUCACGCCUGUCUGACAACUAUGGUAACUCUGGACCUCUCCGUCGGCUCUCCCCUUAGGAAUAUUAAUUUUCAAAUUUCCCGCUCUUUUAUGGCUCAACCAACACCUCUGGCAGGCAAAAACCCUUCAAGUCUGUGUUCGAUACAAAGUGUUUGCGUGUUUGCACUUUAAUCUCAUCAGGAGGGGCUAUUUGCGAAUUGGCAAUGGUUCCACGUUCCAUUGGACUACGACGUCAUGCGGAUGGAAGUGAAUGGGUGCCUUGAUCAGUAGGGUUUGUUCGUGGAGAAUGGGCGCUCGCAUCAUUCUCGCCAGUUUUCCAAAAGAUCCUAAUGAUCUCAAAUUGUUCCCUUGCUCAUGGCGUCUUCAUCCGCCUUUAAUUGAAACAUUACCUUCCUCUCAUCUAGAAGACCCCCUCGAACUCAUUUCCCUCGUCAUCGUCGUCAUCAUCAUCCCUUUGGAACACCCCUCGGCUCAGUGUUUACCUAUUCGAAGAACUCGAAGAAGUCCCAGGGUCCCUAAAUUGGCCUCACUGUCAGACAAAAGGUCCUGUUUGAAAUAUCAUCCUCCCCGGAGUCGGCUCAAAAAGCUAACCGUUUUGAUCAAGCACGUAAUUGAAACAUUUCUUUCCGCCUUGCCAGUCAUAAAGGUCCCAUUCCAGUUAUCCCAAAACUCUCUCUUCCCACUUUCGCCAACUAUCCAACUAUUGAGCGUAGGAAAAGCAAUGAAGAAGAAGGGGGAGGCAGAGAGAGGGAACGGGUAAAGGCAGCCCGCCCAACUUCGAAGUCCCUACUUCCUGUUCCUCUCAGUGCGACCAUUUCGCCAAUUCUAAGCACCAAGGAAGGACCGAACCCGUUGAUCUUCAAUAAAGGAACGCUUGAUUGUACGCGUGCGUCAUUCUUGUUCACUGACCAACCCGGAAGGCAAGGGAGAACCCAGGGUGACCCAUCCAAGCUAACGGCGUGUGAGAAAGGAACAAAGAGACGAAAAAAAUAAGAGCCUCGUAAAUGAACGUCAUAUUUCUGGUUCUGUGGGCCCCAUUCCAGUCCUCUUCCUUCUCGUUCCUCCGACAGUCCAUUUUAGGGAUGUGCAAGAUUUUCUUGAUGCGAAAUUUUGGUCUAGAUACUUUUUUCGGAAACGCCUUUCAUUUUUCUCUUACCUCGUAUCGUAUUAUAUUGAACGCAAAAAAUAGAUAAAUUUCUCAUGUGUGCCCAGAAAUGGACAAUUGAUCUAACAAUUUUCGGCAACUUCAAUGUCCCUGCAUAAAUUUGACAUGUUUGUAACAAAUCGGAUUAAAGAUUGCAUUGAAAAGG